Molecule: small nucleolar RNA, 140 nt
Organism: Phodopus roborovskii (desert hamster)
Lineage: Eukaryota; Metazoa; Chordata; Mammalia; Rodentia; Cricetidae
Product: small nucleolar RNA SNORA48
Exons: 1
Source: RefSeq, a predicted model, not a curated record
UGUCUGGCAGUGGGCAAAGAGACACCUUGUUGGUAAUGUUGCUCUAAUAUCAGCCAGGGCAUAGCAGAUGACUUUUUUUUAUUCAUCCUAGUUGAUGCCUGGCUUGAUGGCCAAGGCUAUUUCAUGCCUAGGGCACAUAA